RNAcentral lists this long non-coding RNA (1587 nucleotides) under Homo sapiens (human). RNAcentral's name for it is "HSALNT0395701". Lineage: Eukaryota; Metazoa; Chordata; Mammalia; Primates; Hominidae. The record is from RNAcentral.
CGCCGGGGCUGGAGGUGCCCCACCCCCCCAACUCCCCAGCCCUCCAUCCCUCCCGGAUGCAGCCAGGCACUCCCCACUUCUCUCUGCAAGAGCAGCCUCACCACCCCGACCGCAGGGGUCCAGGGACCCCGCAUUCCCUCCCCCGCCCUCAGGCCCCUGCAGGUGCUGAGCCCCAGGCAGGUCUGCAGUGCACGGCACUGCCGGGGGGACGGGGCAUGGACACACAUACCCAGUGGCCCCCAACUACCCACAAGAGCAGGGAGUGUGGCAGCUGCAGGGGUCCUCCCCACCCUGCCCCUCUGGGCACCUCCGGGUGUGCACGCAUGUUUGAGCGUGUGUGGACGUGAGUGUAUCUGUGCAUGUGUGCGAGCAUGUGCGUGUGUGUGCACGUGUGCAUGUGUGGAGUCUAUGAAUGUGUGUGUGUGAGCAUGUGUACACACGUGUGAAUGGAUGCAUAUGGGCAUACGUGAAUGUGGACUGUAUGGAUGUGUGGCAUGCGGGUGUGGGCGUGUGUGUGUGACGGUGUGGACUGUACAGAUAUGUGACGGUGUGGACUGUAUAGAUGUGUGUGUGUGUGUGACGGUGUAGACCAUAUAGAUGUGUGUGUGCAUGUGAUGGUGUGGACUGUAGAGAUGUGUGUGUGUAUGAUGGUGUGGACUAUAUGGAUGUGUGACGGUGUGGACUGUAUAGAUGUGUGUGUAUGACAGUGUGGACUGUAUAGAUGUGAGACGGUGUGGACUGUAUAGAUGUGUGUGUGUAUGACGGUGUGGACUGUAUGGAUGUGUGACGGUGUGGACUGUAUAGAUGUGUGCAUGUAACAGGUGUGGACUGUAUAGAUGUGUGUGUGUUUGUAUGACGGUGUGGACUGUAUGGAUGUGUGACGGUGUGGACCGUAUAGAUGUGUGUGUGUUUGUAUGACAGUGUGGACUGUACGGAUGUGUGACAGUGUGGACUGUAUAGACGUGUGUGUGUAUGACGGUGUGGACUGUAUAGAUGUGUGACGGUGUGGACUGUAUAGAUGUGUGCAUGUAACAGGUGUGGACUGUAUAGAUGUGUGUGUGUGUGACGGUGUAGACCAUAUAGAUGUGUGUGCAUGUGAUGGUGUGGACUGUAUAGAUGUGUGUGUGUAUGACAGUGUGGACUGUAUGGAUGUGUGACGGUGUGGACUGUAUAGAUGUGUGUGUGUUUGUAUGACGGUGUGGACUGUACGGAUGUGUGACGGUGUGGACUGUAUAGAUAUGUGUGUGUGUAUGACGGUGUGGACUGUAUGGAUGUGUGAAGGUGUGGACUGUACAGAUGUGUGUGUGUGUGUAUGACGGUGUGGACUGUAUGUGUGUGUUAUGGUGUGGACUGUAUGGAUGUGUGCAGGUGUGUGUGUGAGACGGUGUGGACUGUAUGGAUGUGUGCGGGUGUGUGUGUGAGACGGUGUGGACUGUAUGGAUGUGUGCGGGUGUGUGUGUGAUGGUGUGGACUGUAUGGAUGUGUGCGGGUGUGUGUGAUGGUAUGGACUGUAUGGAUGUGUGUGGGUGUGUGUGUGUGAUGGUGUGGACUGUAUGGAUGUGUGGGCAUGCGGGUGUGGGUGUGCAC